UACGUAGGGGGCAAGCGUUGUCCGGAAUCAUUGGGCGUAAAGCGCGUGUAGGCGGCUCGAUAAGUCUGCUGUGAAAGUCCAGGGCUCAACCCUGGGAUGCCGGUGGAUACUGUCGAGCUCGAGUCCGGAAGAGGCGAGUGGAAUUCCUGGUGUAGCGGUGAAAUGCGCAGAUAUCAGGAGGAACACCAAUGGCGAAGACAGCUCGCUGGGACGUGACUGACGCUGAGACGCGAAAGCGUGGGGAGCAAACAGG
Molecule: ribosomal RNA, 253 nt
Filed under: uncultured bacterium
Lineage: Bacteria
Description: partial 16S ribosomal RNA
Rfam family: Bacterial small subunit ribosomal RNA
Source: RNAcentral